GCUCUAGCCUGGAAGAAAAAGUCAGAAGUAUAUUUGUAGUAUCAUAGUAUCUUGGUGAAAUGAAUGAUGUAAAGAUUGUGCUAUUACAAGAGCUCUAACCUGGGACAACCUGAGAAGUAUAUUUGUAGUAUUUUGGCUAAUUGGCAUGUGUUUUGAUAAUUUUCACUUGUUUACUGUUCUCAUUGAAAUAAUUGUUUCAAAUUGUGGAAGUUGAAACCUGGGCCGUUGCUAAUUAGAACCUGAGAAGUGGGACCUAGUAGUAUUUGGCAUCAGAAAGGCCAUUUACCAAAUAAUAUUCACAGGAAAGGCUGAAAAUUAAGGAAACUGACUGAAAAAAGGCCGAGGCCCAAAAGAAAAAUAGAUGAGACCCAAAAAAGAAAUGGACCGUAGAAAGGCUAAGGCCCAAAACCACUGAACGAAGCUUAUGGAACAAAAAGACCGAAUUAUUGGGCUCGGCCCGCGUAAAACAAUGAAUCGGACCGGGCUGAAUCUUACCUGUGACCUUUUGAAUUGGUCACAAUUUUGCCACGUCAGCUCGCCACGUUGGAUCCGACGUGGCCUGGGCAGACAUCCAGUGACCAAAACAAAAGGUCAUAGCUUCAGCGACCUUCUGUUUUGGUUGUAAAUGUCUACACGACCUUCUCACAGAGAAGGUCGCUAUAGUCAGUUUAUGACCGUCAGCUUUUGACCUUCUGUUUUUGGUCACAAAAAGGUUGCGAAUGAAAAACUAUGACCCUUAAGUGACCAAUAGUGGAGGUCACAAGAUAGCAUAUUUCUUGUAGUGACUACCUUAUCUCUUCAACACCUAGCUCAAGAACCAUGUAUAGAAUCACACCGUCAGAAUCCCCUCCCCUCCCCUCCCCUCCCGUGUCGCUUCGGAGGGCGAUACAUAGUGCCGCCAGCCUCCUCCCCCAUCUCCAACACCCCUCAACGCCGCUGCCGCAGGCCUUCGCCGGGGCGGCAGCGGGCCCAGCUGCCGAAGGUAGUCUGGGAUGGAUGGGCGAUGGAUGCGACCACGGGAGCUACUAGGGCGGCGAUGGGGGAUCUUCGAUGCGAGGUGACCAGGGCGGCGCUCCUGCAUUGGGGUGGUGGCGGUGAGCUUCCUGGGUGGCAAGGAUCCGGUGAAGGAGGCGCUAUUCGUUGGCUUCGGGGGAACCUCACAGAAAACCUGUGUCAUGGACGAACCUCUCUGCCGCCUUGUUGCCUCCAGGAGAUCGAGGCGCAACAUUUCGCGUCCCUAGUAGCCGGGGCCAUGGUGUUAGCUAGAGAGGUGAGGCAGAGGCAUGCUACUCAACAUCCGUGCAGCGACGCUCCGACAGCGGCUGGUCUGAUCUGGGCCUUGUGAGUCUGUGCAGGCGUGCGGAGCGGCGGCCGCCUUCUCCUUGGCUGAUCUGAUCGGAGUCGUGGUGGCCUAUUGAAUUUGGCCUAUUGAAUUUGCUUGAAUAAGGAGACGACCCUGGGGUUCUUCUCGUGCCAAGGCGGUGAUCUGCUUUAUUCCUGUCCUCCUUGGUCUGGCCAUUGAUGAAUUUCGGGAUGCUCUGCUGGAGAUAUCCUUUGGGCAGAUGAUGCCUCUAGAUUUCUUGAUCGGAUGGGAUCCGGUCAUGUGCAUCAUUAUUUCAGCCCGCAUGGCGUGGAGCGAAGCUCCAUUGAAUGUUGACAUUAUGGGACAUGCCAGUCUUUCAUUUCCAUCUUGUAGACAGUGACGGAGAAUGUCACGGCACAUAAGUUUGAGGAAUAUCAUUGCUUCGAGUCUAUGAAGAAUUUGCAUGGUGUAUCGUGACUUCUAGUAGAGGCAUCGACAAAUGGAGGUGGCAACACUAGAGGAGUCCAAAGUCUUAUCUUUCAAGGUGAAAAUUCAAAGUCUGGCCUUAAUUGGUUGUACCUAGCAAUGGCCUUGUUGAAGUCACUGUUUUGAAAGUGUGGACUUUCUCCAGGGUGAAAACCUAAGAUCUUUGAUCGGGUUGCGACGAUGCUUCUGCACUGUUUCCUUCUUGAAGGCAUCGCUUUUUGAGAAUAUGGACUCUGGAUGUUGUCCUUGCUGGUGUUUUAUGUUGCAGCUGCAAGGAAAUUGAUCACUCUAGCUGCACUUUUGCUUUCUUCUUCUUCAUCUUCUUUUUGUUUGAUGGUUGUUUGCAUUCGUAAUGUCUUUUGGACAUUUGAUUGGUGCGGAGGCUAGGUGUAAUUAGUAUCUACGCUAUAUUAAUAUAUUAUAUUUGUCAAAAAUAGAAUCAUAUCGUCAGGAAGGCAACCAAUAUAUGCUAAAUUCUCGGUUGCUUUAAAAUUAUCUUGACUUUCUAUGCUAAUAACUACGUAGGAUUGAGACAAUGUAUUAUCGUUUUCAUGUUAAUGAAAAAGGAAGGCAUGCACUUAAAUUAAAAAAGAAAGAAGCUACGACCUUGUCUCCUUGUUUUCCAAAGUUUGAGUUAAAUAAACUCAGCCGUCAUAUAAACAUUAUUGCUCGCAGUCUAUCUACCUAUCUAUCUAUCUAUCUAUCUAUCUAUAUAUCUAUAUCUACUCAUAUCUAUCUAUCUAUCUUUCUUUCUUUCUGUCUAUACCUCUACUAAUUGGAGUCCCCAUAUAAAUUUCCACGUUAAUUAGAAAUUAGGAGCAGUUCAUUUCGUGGGACUGAGUUAUUACAGUAGAGAUUAACCCACACUACUAGGGAAAACCUAGUAGUAGCGCGGGUUUUGAGGCUAGCAGCAGCGCGGGCAGCCGCGCUACUACUACGGCGCUACAGCUAACUAUUAGUAGUAGCGCGGUUUGCACCCUCGCUACUACUGUUGAGUAGAUCAGCAAUGCUUUUCUGAAAUGCGCUACUAUUAGUUAGCUGUAGCUAUUUCCUAGUCCCUCGCUACUGCUAUAUCUUUCAUCAUUUCUCCCCGCUUCCUACCUUGUUUCGGCUUCAAUAAACUGCAAUUUCCAGAUAUUAGGUACUACUAGAUAUCAAUUUCAUAAAGCAUUAUAGGUACUAGGUAGUUCUCCCUCUGUUCCAAAUUACUCAUCGUGGUUUUAGUUCAAACCACGAAGUGUAAUUUGGAACGAAGGGAGUACUAGAUAACAAUUUCAUGUAUAGUCAACAUGCAUCCUCCAGCAGUACAAGGUCAUAUCGACGACGGUCAUCAUAUGUAGUUCUAGAUGAUAUCGACGACGAUCAUCAUAUGUAGUUCUAGAUGAUAGAGCCACACACAUAUGUAGUUCUAGAUGAUAUCGAAGACGAUCAUCAUCCUCAAUCCUGGGCGGUGGGUGUUCCUGAUAGUAAUUAGGAUGGCAUGUCCAACACGAAGAUUCUUGCCAUCGAGGAAUCUCUUCCACCCAACUGAGUUUAAGUGUGUGCGACCGUCCGUGUACACGCGGUAAGUACAGGUUGUGACGGAGCCCCUUGCAGUAAGGCGUAGUCCAGCUGAGCCUUCUUCAUCAGGCUCGAUAGCAUAACUCACAGAUAGGCUCUUUGCCAAUUUCUGUAUAAGAAAAACAUAUCAAUUAAUAAAUAGCCUCGCACAUACUCUUGCAAAUAGGUAUAUAUGGAUUAUCUACACUAUUAGUAGUUCCUUAGAUUCUACACUAAUAAGCAUGUGAUCAAACUCUACACUAAAGCAUAUCAUCGACUAGAUUCCACACAACAUAUCAUUGGACUCUACAGUAAGCAUAUCAUCGGAUAAUUUGCUUUUGUACGUAUAACAUACCAUAGCAUGUCGAUCGACCAUGGUACUUGUGAGGCGGGUCACGAAUGGCACCCCGACAAAGUCAGCAUGUGGCGGAAUUAUGUCCCAUAGGUUGCACACCUCUUCCUCGCUCAGCCUCAUUCUUUGAGCUAUGAUGGCUUCAUGAAGUGCGUCCUCAUCAUCUUCAUUGAGUGGGUCUUCAUUAUCUUCAUCAUCUUCGUCAUAUUCAUCAUCUUCCACCAGGUUGAUAUAAAUGACAGCCAGCUUGGGUCUUUCUGUUCUGAAAGAGAAGCUGAUCAACUCACCGCUAGUAAGACGCAUGCGGGCGAGGAAACGGGCCUAUCUAUCUCCUCCAAUAUGCGAGUGUACGGCCCCCCAGGAGCCUCAAAUGUCACAGUGUCUCUUGUCAGCUUGUUGAAUUUCAACUCACAUUGCAUGGGACGAUCUAUGUAAAAAAAGAAAAAUGACACAAUGCAGUAAUGCCAACAGUAAAAAUAAAAUAAUUGUUACAUUUCAUAUAAUUUCUUACCGCCGCAUGACAAAAACUCGGCUGGAAGUAGAUGCCGAACAGCUUGCCAGUUGCAAGGCUGCUGGCGCACCUUGACUUACACAAUCAACAUGGUGGUGGUGGUGGUGGUUCCAUUUUCCCACAGCAAUAUGAGCAAAGGAUUAACAAUCCACUUCACUAUUAAAUCAACUAAAUCAACUAGCCUAUUAAAUCAACUUGCCUACUAAAUCAACUAAAUCAAAAUGUUCGAUAAAUCAACUAAAUCAACUAGCCUAUUAAAUCAACUUGCCUACUAAAUCAACUAAAUCAAAAUGUUCUAUAAAUCAACUAAAUCAACUAGUCUACUAAAUCAACUUGCCUACUAAAUAAACUAAAUCACAAUGUUCUAAAUCAACUGAAUCAACUAGCCUACUAAGUCAACUAAGUCAUAUGAACUAAAUCAAAAUAUUGCAUAUGAACUAGCCUACUAAAUCAAAAUGUAGCAGGGGGAGGGGUUGUGGAUGGAGGAGGGAGGAGGGAGAACGAGGGGCGACUGGAGGAGGGAGGAUAGAGUAGGACGGAGGAGGAAGGGCAGAGGAAGGAGGGGCCGGCCGGCGGCGAGUCAAGGGAGGACGGAGGAGGAGGGCGGUACCGAGUCCAGCGAGAAGGAGGAGGUGGAAGCGGCGCAGAGGGAAGAGGUGUAGGCGACGACGGCCGGCGGGGAAGGACCGGCGCGGGGGGCAGGGGGUUGAGUGGGAGAUGGAGUGAGUGUGAGAGUGAGUGUGGAUCGGAUAGAGGAGAGCGUGGGUGGUGGGAGAUAGCUAGUUUUAGCAGUAGCGCGCUAUAGGCAAAGGCGCUACUGCUAAACUACCUAGCAGUAGCGCACUUCGAUUUAAUGCGCUGCUGCUAUAACUAGCUUCGUGGCGGGGUCGUGGGAAUUAUAGUAGUAGCACGGCUUAGUGCAUGCGCGCUACUCUUACUUUUAUUUCAGCAACGUGUUCUGCUGGAGCGCGCUACUGCUAUAUUGCAGCAGCGCCUUAUUUUAGAACGCGCUGCUGGUAAUAUCCUAUGUAUUGGCUUUUCUCUAGUAGUGCCAGGUGACUCCUUUCACCCUAAUUUAACUUUGUAUUUCAAAACGUUGUCAAAUUACCAAUAUCUCCCGACCUCUCUUCUUUCUCUCUUAAUGUCACGUGGAUGUCGUCCUCUCAAUUUCUAUCAACUUUGCUCUAGGUUUAUUCCGUUGUCUUCAUGGGAAUCCCAACCUCAUCUUCCUGGUUUAUCUCCCAUGAUGUAGCAAGAUUGUUGGGUUAGAGAUAACGACAUCAUGUUCACGUGUGUUAAGCGGCAAAGAUCUAGUGGACCUUUGAUUAGGGAAGCUGCACGUGCAUGUUCAAGACAAUUAGACCUUCAAUUAGAAAAGCUGCACGUGCAUAUUCAGGUCAACACAUUGAGAGGACGCCACCUCGUGGAUGCCCUCCUUGAUCCUUUCGGGGGCCAGCCGGUAAUUGUAAUUGCCGAUUCGCUACUGCGCCACUCCGCCACAUUGCAUUGUCUUGCACCAACAUACACCCCUCUGUACUUGUAGGGGUGCAUGCCUUUGUUAUCAUAUAUCAGUGCCCUCAUCCCAGUCUAAUCUCGCCACCUUGAAAACAAAACCUAACAUUACAAUACUGUCUCCUUGGGCAGCCGCUCCAGAUCAUCACUGCCUCAUCUCUUCAACAACUAGCCCAAGAACCAUGCAUAGAACCGCACCGUCAGGAAGGCAACUAAUAUUUGCGAAAUUCUUGGUUGCUUUAAAAGUAUCUGGUCUGGAGUUGCUUUGCUAAUAAUUAAGUUAGAUUGAUACAUUGUAUUAUUGUUUUCAUGUGAAUGGAAAUUGGGAGGCAUGCACCUAAAUUAAAAAAGAAAGAAGUUGCGACCUUGUUGUCUUAACUGUCAAGAUUGAGGUAAAUAAAUUCAGCGGUCACAUAAACAGUAUUGAUCACAAUAUUAACCAGUUUUGCAAGACAGGUUGAAGUAAUCCUAUGUUCAGCCAGCUCUAUCAUGUGUGCUGACGUUUAUGAAAACUUAUUGGAAAAUGUAAAUUUCUACCGACUUACAUUAUUGUUGAACAGAAAAUGAGCUUCCAAAGAAAAUAAUUGGUGAGCUAUUUUAAGAUGUUCUACCUUACCUCUAAUGGUAAGAUUCAUUUUAAAUCUAGAUUGUUGGUUCAUGACAUUUAGUAAUGUCCAUAAACCAAAGAAUGGUAAUAAAGUAAAUGAUAACACACUAGUAGCUAAUGUAUUAAAUAGGCACAACUCUUUCCAUCAGAAGUGAUAAAUAUCAUGCAAUAUGCUACAGUAAUCACACAUCCAUGUACUCUAGGAUUUAUUAGUAUGUUGAAUUUUUAGAUAUGCACCAUAAGUCAAGAUAUGCUUAAUUGCACAUCCAUGAAUGACUGGUGGGCCUCAAUCAUUGUCCGCAUUCUUGAUUAGAUGGUGUCUUUGUAUGCAAGUCAUAUACUUUACGUUGAGUAUGUAUUGCAUGUGAGUUUGACAAGAAGCUUCGUAAUAGUUUGACGCAAGAUGUUGGAGCAGACUACAAAACCGACUUCCCAAUAGAAAUGUGAGAGUUAGUUUUUCAAAAGUAUGAAACCAUUCCAUAAAGUAUUAUUUUCAUUUCAUAAGAAUAGUUUGAGAUAUUUUUAGAUCUUAAUUCAGGAUGUUCUCUCAAAAAGUUAGUUUUGAGUGAACCCAAAGUAAAUUACUGCUUGAUAAAUACAUUCUUUUUGCAUGGUCUUCAUACGAUAUAAGUACCAGAAGAAUUUAAUUUUUCAAUGGUCAAUAAUGUGUGCUAAAAGGUUUAUUUCUUUACAUAUAUUGGUUCUCGCAAUUUAAGUUUAAUACUAGUUCAUAUUGGAAAGUAAUGAUGUGUAGAGAACAAAAAAGCUCAAUGUUCCCUCGUUUAUCAUCCACGAGGUAAUAUAUAGCUGACCAUUGGAUCAACAUAAACGGUCGAUCCAAAACAAUUCGAGAGAAUUUACAAUUUUAUAAAUAAGCACAUUUUCCAAGUCAAAUGACCACUUACAUGUUUUACUGUUGUAAUAUGACAGUGACACGUCACGCCACAACAGUUUGCAGUCAAAAAGAGCAUAACUAUUUAGCAAUGGAUCCCUUUUACUAUAGCUGAUCAAUGGGUGGAUAGCUCCCGCAUUACACGAGUAAGUCGAAGAUAAUUUCUAAAUGAUUGAAAUCGUUUCCCCCUAGUUUCCAGGGUUCCCGGGUUCCUCUAGCGGCUGCUACCGGCUGCGUAAAAAAAUCCCUAUCUUGUUGUUCUCGCACCGACACGGCAAGACGGGUCCUCGGUCUGACAGUCUCAUGAAGCUCAGGAAGGUUCUACAUGGCCGAAGGGAUGUCCUGCAAGAUGCAUCUGGCAGAUCAAAAACUACUUGUAUCCCUGGAGAUGUUACUCGAGCAGAAAGAUAAAGCGUGACGGCAGCUGGGGCGUACCAACUAGCUUAGGCACAAUGACUGAAAUACAAGUUUUUCUAGAAUCAUACAUGUGAGUGACAGAGAAGGAACACCAUCUUAGCUUUUAGAUUUUAACAAAUUGUGGAACCUAAUGAUGAAUUGCCAAACAUGAUUUUGAAUUUUAACAAAUUGUUUACUUCCAAAUUAAAUGAACCUAAUAAUGAUGUGCUAGACAAAGUACAUGUCAGUCUAACUGUGGGUAUGAAUGAAAUAUUCUUCAUGCCAUAUACACUUGAAGAACUAAAAAACGAUUGGUUUAACAUCAGAGCCAUGAAAGAAUCAGGAUCCUAUGGUGGCACACAGUUGAGGUUGGCCUCGACCUUGAUCACCCACGUGGUGUACUUACCGCCAGUGAGCAUCGGCACCGGCUGCGGCAGCGAGCUGCCCGCUUCGGCGGCGUACAGCACGAGCGACAUCGUCGGCGAACUCCUCCCGCAAUGAUGCUCUGAUAUCAAAUGUUGUUGCAAAACCCUGGCCUAGCUCUCCCUCUAACCUAUCUCUCUCUCUCUAUGUCACCUCGCUCUAGCCUAAGCCGAAUCAAGGAAGAAGAAAACACGAGGACAAGGGGGACACGGUGGAGUUCCGGCGCACGAAUGCCCGCUGCACAGACGGCCUUGUUUUCCCUCGAGCACAUUCCACACCUGUUACAACGACCAUCGCGCGUCUUUAUACACGAGCCAGCGCACCGGGCACGAACCCAUGCCUCCACUCCCUCCCGAUCGCUCGCGCUUCGCCCGCUCUGCUCGUGCCCGCGUCGCGCUCCGACGCGCACAGACCACGGCGAGCUCCAACGGCAGCACCCUCGAUCGCGCCACGCUACUCGCCAACAGCCUAGACCUAAACACACGCACACGAUGCACACCCGCACGGACACGCCCCUGCUACACCUGCACGCACGCACACCCAGCCACGGACCCGACGUGUCCAACACACCCAGCGCGCGCCCAUACACGGUCGGGCGCGUUCGACCCGUCGCCAUGGCUUAUUAGCCCAACAAGCCGAUUAUGGUUUGUAGAAGCCUCACUUGAUCUUCCUGUUUGCGGGUGGUCGGGUUGCAGAUGUAGAACCGGGAUUCUCGUGAGAAGACGUGGAAGCCAUCGUAGGCGCCUAGGAGGUGAAUCUUGGAAUGGACGCCCGGGACGAAUGGCCAAAGCUGUUGAUUGGCAGCGCACGAGCGGGCGCAGGCGCCGACGUUGCGGAAGACGACAAGGCCAGCAGGUCGCCCCCGCUCAUCGACUAUGGGGGAGGACGGCUGGCGGCCAUGGUGUUCGACGGUGAAUUCGGGCGUGGAGGUGGCAGCGCGCCACGACUCGCGGACGGCACGGCAGCGGCCUAUGUCCUUGGGCGGCAGCACGAUGAGGAUCUGGUCGACGACGAUCUCCUCGGGCAGGUCGUCGAGCACGGUCUCGCCUCUCCCUGUUCGGUAUCGUCCGUCGGAUCCAGUGAUCAGCCAAAAAAGAGCUGCAAAUCAACUUUUGUCCUCAAUAAAGCGCAAGCGGGAGAUCCGCCUAUCAAAACAUGUAUACUAGUAAAAUGCGAGGAGAUUUUGUGUGCUAAUGGUAAAAAGAAAUCGAAGAGACGCACGGGACAAGGCAUGGCCGUCCGAUGAUAAAGACGGAAGUUUGCUCACCUGCGUGUGUGAGGAAGACGGUGGUCCGGCCAGCACCUGCCCGUACUCCGGAGAGAGAUUUGAGGGGAAAGGUCGAGAAAGGUGGGUCUGGCCGGAGUGAAGUUCUAGCCGCACCGCUGUUUGGUUGCGUGACGGUACGAUGCAAGUUCUAGCAGUUAUGACUACAGGCACUGGUAGAAAAAGAGGCUUCCGUCCAGCCCCAUUAGUCGCGAAACUGUAGGAACCGCGAUUAAUGAAGUCUUUAGUCGCGGUUCGGCAGACGAACCGCGACCAAAGGUCUGGGCCCAGGGCGCUCGGUGGCCAGCUGGUGCACGUGAUGAGCUUUAGUCGCGGUUGGCCAGGCCAACCGCGACUAAAGGUGCCCAAAGGCCUUUAGUCGUGGUUGGCCAGGCCAACCGCAACUAAAGCUCCUCCCCUAUAUAUACCAGUUCAGCCCUUUAGUCGCGGUUGGUCUGGCCAUCCGCGACUAAAGGUUACCCUUUAGUCGCGGGUCGCCUCCCCAACCGCGACUAAAGGGGGGGCUAUAAAUACAAGGGCCCGAACCCUUUCUCGUGUUCUCCGAUUCAACACCGCGCCGAAGGCCUGCCGCCGUCGCCCUCGCCCUCGACGCCNNNNNNNNNNNNNNNNNNNNNNNNNNNNNNNNNNNNNNNNNNNNNNNNNNNNNNNNNNNNNNNNNNNNNNNNNNNNNNNNNNNNNNNNNNNNNNNNNNNNNNNNNNNNNNNNNNNNNNNNNNNNNNNNNNNNNNNNNNNNNNNNNNNNNNNNNNNNNNNNNNNNNNNNNNNNNNNNNNNNNNNNNNNNNNNNNNNNNNNNNNNNNNNNNNNNNNNNNNNNNNNNNNNNNNNNNNNNNNNNNNNNNNNNNNNNNNNNNNNNNNNNNNNNNNNNNNNNNNNNNNNNNNNNNNNNNNNNNNNNNNNNNNNNNNNNNNNNNNNNGUAACCGGCCUCCCUCGCCCACCGCGCGCGCGCCGCCUCGCUCGCCCGCCCUCAACGCCGCCGGCCGGCCUCGGUACUGCCGCGCGCGCACGGGCCACCGGUCUCUGACAGAGAGCGAGAUCGUGGAGAGAGAGAGGCCCGGGGCGCCGCGGGCCACCGGAAUUUUUCUUUCUUUUUCUUUUUUUUGUUCUUUUUAAUUUUAACUAGUUAAUUAGUUUAACAAAAACGGUAAAAUAACUUAAAACUUGAUAAUUAACAAAAAAACCGUAAAAUUUGAUAAUUAACAAAAAAAUGUAUAUAAAACUUGAUAAUUAACAAUAAAAAAAGUAAAACUUGAUAAUCAAUAUAUACAACGACCCCGCGCGUCAAUGUACAAUGAUCCCGCUUUAAAAAAAUGUACACGACCCCGCGCAUAUACGGAGAGGGGGCGGCGAGGGGGGCGGCGAUGCGCGCGGUGUUUUUUUUUGGGAUCGAGAGGGGGCGGCGAGGGUUAUACAUGUGUGUUGUCCUCGCCUCCCUCUCCGUGACGCCGUCGUCUGCCGCCCCGUCUCGCGCUCUACUGCGACACCCUCUCCCACCCCUUCCUCGCCCCCUCCUUUUGCCACCGCCACCACCACCGCCCCCCUUCUUCACUUAAUUAAUUUGUUUUUACUACAUGUUUUCAGGACUGACAUAAUGGCGGACGAUAGAGCUGACCCGAUUAUGGACAACUAUGAUCCGGACGGUGAAGCACAUAUGUUCGGCAUCAUAAACGGCGAUAUUNNNNNNNNNNNNNNNNNNNNNNNNNNNNNNNNNNNNNNNNNNNNNNNNNNNNNNNNNNNNNNNNNNNNNNNNNNNNNNNNNNNNNNNNNNNNNNNNNNNNNNNNNNNNNNNNNNNNNNNNNNNNNNNNNNNNNNNNNNNNNNNNNNNNNNNNNNNNNNNNNNNNNNNNNNNNNNNNNNNNNNNNNNNNNNNNNNNNNNNNNNNNNNNNNNNNNNNNNNNNNNNNNNNNNNNNNNNNNNNNNNNNNNNNNNNNNNNNNNNNNNNNNNNNNNNNNNNNNNNNNNNNNNNNNNNNNNNNNNNNNNNNNNNNNNNNNNNNNNNNNNNNAAAUUCGAUGAGGAGGGUAACAAGAUUGAGGAAAACAAGGAGAGGAGGAGGCUAGUCAAACAGUUCGCUCUUCAUAAGAUGGCCGACGCAUUCCGGAAAUUCAAGCAAAAUCUAGCCCAUGACUUUGUCAAGCAGAACAAGACUCCGGAUUUCAAAGGACAAUAUGAGAAACUGAAACAUGAUUGGCCAGAAUUUGUGAAGCAAAAGAAAUCGGAGCAGUUCAUUCAAAUAUCAAAAAAAAUAAGGAAAAUGCGGCUAAGAAGGAGUACAAUCAUAUUAUGGGGCCAGGAGGGUAUCGCCUUUGGGAGCCUAGGUGGGAGAAGAUGGAGAACGAGCUGAGGGCGCGAGGAAUCCGUCCAGGUACGGAGGGAUGGGACCCAAGGGCCAAAAGCUGGUGGUACGGGCAUGGGGGAACGCUGAACCCGGAGACAGGGGAGUGUGUUUACCGGGGCAAAAUAAUUAAACCCACACAAGCCCUUAUUGACGCAAUGAGGGAUGCUCAAGAGGGGAAGAUCAAGUUCAACAGAGAGAACGACGCGCUGACAAAAGCCCUCAGGAAUCCUGAACACGGAGGACGUGUACGAGGCAUGGGGCACAUUCCGUGGAAAAUAGGGUUCCCCCAGAACGAUGACCCGUACGGUUACAGAAGCCGGAAUAGAAAGAUGGAUCGGGAAGCAGAUGUUGUGGCGCGGUUGGCAUCGGAAAUGGAUGUGAUGAAGAAAACCGUAAGUGUACUAGUAGCCGAAAGAGAUGCAGCUCGGGCGCAGUAUGAAGAUCAUCCAGCGGAUCUCAGAAGCCAGCAGCGGAGAAGCAGUGUGGCUUCCACGGAGGCCCCACCGGCUGGUGCAGAUGCACCAACGAUCGAAAUUACUGCACCGGAGCCUCUGGUGGUCGAAAUUACUGCACCGGAGCCUCUGGUGGUCGAAAUUACUGCACCGGAGCCUCCUUGCUACCCCGUGGACGAUAUAAAGGAGAUGAAAGAAUGUCAUCUGUAUUAUCCUAUCGGGAACAUGUCCAUGAAGGUAGCCAUCGACAGUGCUUUACCAUGUUUACCUGGAGCACUCCACCACAACAACCCCAUUCAAGAUGGCUAUGCUCGUGUCACGGUGGAGGACAUAGUCCAAGGGUUUGAGGACCUGGAGAUUGACAUUGCUACACCUGAAGGGGAGAAAAGACUUGGAGAUGUCAAGCGCCAUUUCAUUCUAUGGCAAAAGAAGUUUAUCAAGUUUCCAGGCGAGGCGCCAAGGACAACAAGUCCACCCCCCUACGGUGGUGGCGGUUCACCUACACCUCCGUCACGUCAGCCGACGCCCCCCAGUCCACAACGUCCGUCGGGUGAUCAGACGCCGCCACCCAGUCCUCGUCCGGCGGGUGAUCAGACGCCGCCCCCCAAUCCACCUCCGGCAAAGAAGCAGAAGCAGUCCUGGAUUAUUAACCCGGACCCUUAUGUACCUAAGACCACAAAGGUACCGGAGCCAUCACUGAAGCCUCUCCCCACAAGGCCUUGGGAACGUAGUGCCGAGGAAACUGCCGCGGCCGCGGCUGCUGAUCAUGAGAAAUGGAAGGCGGACUGUAAGAAGAAAAGAGAGCCCGAGCCCAAGCCAGUAUUUUCUGAUGAGCAAAAGAAGUGGGCUAAGUCAUUUUUGAGCACACCGUCCCAAGCCGCGAAGAAUCUGCCUGACGACUAUGCACGUGAACUUCGUAGGCAGGCACUCAUGUUGAAGGAGAAGAAAGAGCGGCCGGAGAACCAGGAGAACAAAGCCUUGGAGGAGGCCGAGAAAACGGAAUUAGAAAGUAAAAAAAGCGGGAAACGAGUUGCCCAGCUCGGGGAACAAAGUAAACAAUCGAUUGCCCCGCUUAUAGUGAAAGCCGCCGGUCCGGAUGACCCCGAUAUCAUAGCAGCUGCGGCAGCACAUGGAUUGACUGUAACGAGUGCCAGAGAACAAGCGGCCAAUUUAGGUAUUACUCUUCGUGAACUGUUAGGCCUUGAUGAGGCGCCAGUGAAGGAGGUAGUAAUUACAUAUGUGAAGAAUGGGCCUCUCGUCGAGCCUGCGCAGGAAGAGGAUCUACCUCCAUAAAUGAAAGGUCUGCUGAAAUGGUACAAGGGUUACAUAAAAAAUAAAAACGCCAAAGAAUAUAUUUAUGCGGAAGUUAGAUAUGAGCAUCACUUCAAACAUUACUAUGUACAAAUUCAUCUGAGUGAAUUGUUCCAGCUUUUCAAUCUGCACGAGCUCGACAAAUCUAUCAUCAGUUGCUACGUUCUGUAAGUGAUUUAUUUCUACCCCAUCUCGUUCAUAUUGCCUGCACUAUAUAUAUGUCCUAACUAUAUUGUUGUGUCCGCUAUUAUACAUGCAAAAUGAAGAUUAAGGAAUGCAGAGUAAGGAACAUCCAUGAUGUUGGGUUCAUUGACCCACACAUCGUUAAUGGAUAUGUGUUGGAGCAUCACCCCGCCGACAUGGAGGCAGACCUGUGGCAGUUUCUUACAAAGCAGGAACUCAAAAGUGAUAUUCUAUUUCCUUACCAUUUUGGGUGAGUGUUUCUGUCUUGAGCACAUUCUCUUUUGUUUACUCUAUGCAUGGUAUGUGGCCGGCUAAUCGAUGAGUUAUGCAUGACGUACUGUGCAUGUAUCGUGUCCGCAGGUUCCACUGGAUUCUGCUAGUAAUUAAAGUUGACACCUCAGAAUGUCUCGUCCACGACUCUAUGAAUAAGGAUCCAAAGCUUUGGGGCGGCAUGAGAAGAAUGCUGCAGAAGUAAUUAUUUUCAUUCAUUUGCGCUCUAUAUCGAUCGGCCUAUUUCGUUCAUUUCCUAAUAUCAAGUAACUAAUAACUCUCUUGUUCAUUUAAUUUUCUUUGCCUCGUAGGAUUUGGAGACGGUUCGUAGAUACAAAGGUCGGUGAAUUCAAAAAAGAGCUAGAAUUCAAAAGGUCAAAGGGUAAGAAUGGUGAGGAUAUUCAGCCAGCGGGGACCAAUCUAUGUGCAUACUAUGUCUGUGAGAUGAUCCGGAGAUACACCUCUGAGCGGGUUCCGAGUGAUACCAAUGCUCAGAGGAAUAACCUCCGGAUGAUGCUUAGUCCAGAAGCUCGCUUCCGACCACUUCAAGAGGAACUAGCUGGAUGGUUCAGGAGGGAAGUCCUCCAUCCUAAAGGAGAACACCAUUACGAGGACGUAGAACUUUAUAUGCAUUAAAUUAUGUAUGGAAACUUGUUCAAAAUUGUAUAUGGUCAUCCGAUGAUAUUGAAUAUAUAUUGUAUAUUCCUCUUGAAUUCUUUUUGGUUCUAAUUUCAAAUUUGUUUGAAUUUGUACAUUCAUAUGCAUGUAUGUAGUACCGUAGAAUAUGUGAAACUCCUUCAAAAUUAAAAUAAAGCACAAAAGAAAUAAAACAAUACAAAUUAAACAGAAAACAGGUUUAGGGGGGGGGGCUAAAACCCUAAACCUGCGGCGGCCUUUAGUCGCGGUUGGCCAGAAGAACCGCGACUAAAGGUCCUCCGCCCCGACGGCCGCCUGGCGACCACGUGGACGGGCCUUUAGUCGCGGUUCUUAAGCAACCGCGAUUAAAGGGGGGGGGGGCCUUUAGUCGCGCCUAUUUGGUCGCGGUUGCGCAACCGCGACUAAUGGCAGUUGCGAACCGCGACCAAAGGCCCUUUUUCCACCAGUGAGGGCGACGCCUCGCGGUUAAAUUUCGUGUUUUGAUCCUUUUCUAAAAGUUAAUCGAAAUCUGACCCAAGUUCGUAAUAGGGUCCAUGGCGGUAGGGUGUAACAACCUACCGCCGGGGACCUUAGCGGUAGGAAACACUCCUACCGUCAAAUAGGCUGGCGGUAGGCUAUACAACCCUACCAUCAAGGUGCCGACGGUAGAUGCGAGCAUCCAUUGUGUCUCAUAGAAUUUUUUUCCGGUAGGCAUGCAUUGUGAUGUACAUCGGUUUUUUUUUCUUUUUGAAAAGGAUGUACGUCAUUUUAUUUUUCAGUUGAGGAUGUUCCUCGGUUGACCGCGCACAUAUGGCUCCUAGCUUUUUUGACACAAUACCGCUAUACACACGAUAGAUUUGUACCCGAUUUCCGCACAAUCCUACAUGGCAGCCCCACAGUGCAUGUGCAACUCACGAGAUAGGAUAUGUUUGGUUGCAUUGCUGGAUGGGCUAUGCUUAAGCUAGCCCAGCUAGCCUAGCUCAGCUUUGCCAGCCUUGCCGUAAGUUACCCAUUUGGAUGCAUCGCUUUUGCUGGCAGUUACAUGCGUGUACGUGCGGGUCAAGCAUGGACUUUUUUGUGUGCAUGCACGCUUGUCGUUGAGAGCGAGCAGAUUCGGCACAACAGGAGGAUUUUGUGAACACACUCAGGCAAAAAAAAAUUAUAUUAUGCAGCUCACAAACUUGAAACGCAUGUUGUGAUUGGAUAAAAGAACUUUCAAAGUGUGCGUUGCAGUCCCAAACAUGGAACGCCUAUGACGAAAAGGUUACCGGCCAAUCACAGUGCGCCUGCUGGCUGCCACAUCAGAUUUGUUUGUUGAGCUGGCCACACAGUUAACAGCUGCUACAAUGUUGUUGACACCCCCCGUGGUCUAUGCCAUGCACACCUUUAGUCACUCAUUUUGUGUCUCCACAGUGAAUAUUGUGUUGCGUGUUCAUACUGUUCUGCCACCGCUCUAGCUUUCACCCUCUUCCUCGCACAAUAGAUCCGCCGCCGUGGUUGGUGCCACCUGCGUGGCGUGACCAUCCCAUUGGUGAAUGACUGAGGUUCAUCCUCCGAUGAUCCGACAAGUAGCACGGUGUUGUUCUGGCUUUUCACAAUUUGGGGAUUUGCCGCUUCCCUAUAUUGAAUCGAUUUGGUUGAUGUUUGGAUGUCGUAGACUAUUUCGUACAUGGAUUGAAGUGAACUAGCAACGGAUGUGUCGGCCCGAUGCCUCCAUAAGCUCCCAUGCAAAAAGAAGUUGGCUGAUACCGGGAGGAAAUUUCUUAGGUGUGCAGGCCAUCUGAGUUAUUUUUACCAGUGUGUAAUCAGGCCAUGUGUGUAACCUGGACAUGUAUAAUCAACUUGGGCAUGUGUAAUCAAGACAUGUGCAUGCACUUGACCAAUCCUAUAAAAUGUGUGCAUGUUUGUCUGUUGAUGAUGCUUUAAGCUUGAUUACCAAAAAUAGCUCAUUACUAAAUUCAAGUGCUUCAGUUGACCGAUGAUAUAAACUUACGUUAAUCAACUCCCAGGUCGUGUAUAUAUGAACGUGCGUAUAAGCACCCGCGGAAGUUGCUUUUGUGCAUCAGCAAAAAUUGAGAGAGAAAAAAACUUUGAAGGUACUACACGUGCAUUUAGCUGAUGACGAGUUGUUGUGGAGAGUUUUGGCCGAGAGAGAUUCAUGUACGAGAAGCUGCACGUAUACAAAAACAUCAUGUAGUUACACACAGUCAAUUUUCGCUACAACUGACCCAGGAAGAAGCUUCACUACUGAUGCUAAUCAACAACAUAAUGAUCCCGUUCAAAAUAAUAAAAUAAAUAAGACAACAACUCGACCCUGGACUUUUAUUCCGACGAAACGUGAUCCUAGACAUGUAGUCGGAACUAGAGCUGUAGAUGGCGAUGUCAUGUGGCAACCGAGCUAUCGGUGUCCUUGCUUGAUGAGCACCGAUGCCGCGGUGCACUCACCUCACCUGAAAAUGGAAGAAAAGAAAUGUCAUAAUUAAGUGUACUCAUAAUCAAAGUGGUGUUCAUCCAAGAACUCAACAACUCACCGGAUGUAUCCUGGGGUGGAGCUAUGCUCAGCAACUCACCAGGUGUAUCCCGUGGUGUAGCUAUGCAGGCCAGGGGGGCAACGCCCCCCCCCCCCCCUCUCCUAGAAAAUCAUCUUUUUCGACAACGCCUAGAAAAUCAUCUGGAGGGCUCUGAUGGAAUAAAUAGUGUUUUGUCCCUCAAAUCUUCAUAUUUUAAUUUUUGAUUUCCAUUAAGUAUUUCUCUUGCCCGGCAAAGCUCGAUGUGGGUAGUGUUGCAAACAGGGCACAACAGGUUCAUGGUGAGCCGCCGCUUGAUGCAUCGUUGAUGGAAAAUGUGGUUGCAAUCAAGCUUUUCUGGUGCCCCCUACAUAGCAUGUUAGUGUACUGACGGUGAAGAGUGGGAGUGUUCCUGAAAGGUAUUUGUUUCUUUUGUUUAAGGAUUGUUGACUUGACACUGAUUCCCUCUCUAAUGUCGCUUUCUUCAGUGUGGGCAGUGACUGCCUCGAACAGAAGAUGCCCGUGUCGAGUGAUAGCAGGUGGAUGUGAAUCAGCAUCCUCUUCCACUGACGGAUGCAAUGGACAACCGUCAUGACCAGCGGCCUCACGAUGGAAAUGGCCGUGAAGAUGAAGGACGAUGGUCUCACUAGAGUGGACCGACCAACUAGAUCGGUCGGCUGACUUGUCGAUGGGCAGUCUCCGGUGGAAGUUGUUGGCUCCCGUAUGACUCGUAUUGCAUAAACAACCGAUAGUUUAAAAGGAGAGAUGACUCGCAGGGCAGCCCUGCCAAUUGAUGAUGGGGAGCGACGACUGGCGGCGAUAGUGUUGAAGCAUGAAUUCAGACGUGGUGGUGAUACUGCGCCACGAUUUGCUGACAGCCCGGCAGCGGCCGACGUCUUUGGACGGCAACAGGACGAGUAUGCUGUUAAUAGAGUAAAUUGGAAAAAACCACCACAAUUGGGAACCCUAAUUCACAAAACCGCCACCAUUCGAUUUUUUUUCAGAAAACCACCAACAUUGCGCUGACAGUUUUCAAAAAACGUUGAUCGCUCCAUUAAAACCAUUUAAUUGAAAACCUGACAAGUGGGUCCCGAUGACAAGUCCACAUGGUGGAGGAGAGACUGCGGCAACCGGUCAACCCCGUCUCCUCACGACUUUUCUCCAUGCGCUCUCACGCCUCCGUACACACAUGGGGGCCCGUGGGUCCGGCCAGGCAGGCCGCCCGCUGACGAACCUCCCAGCACUGCCGGCUUCUGCGCCACACAGCACCACGCUCGGCCGCCUGCCAUGGCUCCCGGCCACAAGCCAAACACGGAUGGAGGACAGGCCCAGGAGGUCCUGUGCCGGCCUCUGGGUGGCGAAGCGGCCGUCGCCGGAUUGCUUGGGGGCGUCAGCAGCAGACCACGGUGGUGCCAGACCGUAGGGGUUCGUCGGGAGAAGACCAUGACAUGGAUUCGCCGCUUGCUACUGGACUAGGCAGGGGGCAGGGGAGCAUAAACUGCUUGAGUUCGUCGGCCAUGGCAGCGGCCGUGCUCGGAGCUCGCGGGGGAUGGCGCUACAGCGUGAAAUAGAGCAGGGGAGAUAGGGGGAAAUUGAGAGGAGCUCAAGUCGAUGCAGCAGGGGAGCUCAGUGGGCUCGAGGCAGGCUUCGAGGCGGCGAAUCGAGGGCGAGGAGCAGCUGGUGCAAGCGGCGGCGAAGGGCUCGAUUCGGCCAUCACCGGGCGUCCUUGCUCGAACCCGUCGACAACGUAUACCAGCGCGAAAAGGCGGAGGUCAGAGAUAUAGUAUGGCAGCGGUUCGUCGGCGGUGGCUACACUGGCUACAAUCGGCGGCGAGGCAAUGUUCUCGGACGGCUCAGAGGAAACCCGCGGCAGCGUACGUUACGUGCCUUAGACCAGGCGACAAGGUAGAAGGGAAGAUGCAGGAGAAAUAAGGGCAGGGCGGCGACGACUUGGCUUGCCGGCAGCGACCUGCGGUUCAGCCUGGGAUCCUUCCGGAUCGAGGCGGUGGCGGCGGCUGUGCACACUGCGUGCAUAGUGGAUCGAGAGGAGGAGGACACAGAGAUGUGUUUUUUAUUACAUGUGAGAUAUCACACUGACAUGCGUGUCCCACGUCUAUUUUGACGGUUGGUCAAACGCCGUUAGUUUUGUUUGCCACAUCAUCACUUAUGAUGGGGCCUAUAUGUCAGUUUUAGCGUUAGCAAGUGCUUAUAUGUGCGAUCAGCGUUUUUUGAAAACUGUCAGCGCAAUGUUGGUGAUUUUUAAAAAAAAAAUCGAAUGAUGGUGGUUUUGUGAAUUAGGGUCCCCAAUUAUGGUGGUUUUUUACAAUUUACUCGCUGUCAAUAAGAUCCUUGGGAAGGUCCCCGAGCAGAGUGUUGCCUUUCCAGUCCGGCAUGGUGCUCCAUCGGACUGAAAUGAAUCAGAAAGAUUUCGUAAGUACGUCGGGUGAGGAUGGAGCGUCUGCGUCAACAACUAACUGCUCCGGCGAACGGCUUGAAUUAAGGAAACGCGUAAGAAAAGUACAGGAGGAAGGCCAAGACGGGUUUACCUAGGAUUGGAGACGCGCAGAUCCAGCAGCGACGACGGGUCGACGGCAGUCGAGCUAUGUUGGCAUGGCGAGCGUGAUCCGUCGCCUCUCUGCAGUAAUACAGACGAGAUUUGAGCGCCAACAGAGAUGAGGGAAAAACGAAGAAAACUGGUCAGACAGGAGAGAUCUGACCGCGACUAGUUUGGGGCUUUGGGCCGAGAAACUGCUCACCGUCUAUUAUGACGAGUCUACCAUUCCUUUUUUUCUAUUUUUUUUCUAUUUGCGUGUGAGUUUACCAAUCCUUUGGAUGAGCAUUAAUCAGUGGCCGGACGGAAUAAGAGAAAUUAUAUCAAAUACUCCAUCCAUUUCUAAAUAUAGGUCUUUUUAGAGUUAUUAAUAUAGACUACAUACGGAUGUAUAUACACAUAUUUUAGAGUGUAGAUUCACUCAUUUUGCUCCGCAUGUAGUUCAUCUUAAAAUAUCAGAAAACUUUUAUUUACGAACGGAGCGAGUAGAUAAUAUUUUUUGUAAUGGCUUCACUUUCUCCAUAUACCCCCUCUGCUCUUUUUUCAGACCUACGCCACCCAAAAACCACCACAAAUGAGGCUAGGGAAAUAACUUGGUACCACAUCGGAGGAGGGGCACAAAAAGCCACCAACUUUGUGCCUAAUGUGUAACGCAUAGCACUGAUGCGACGCCUAUGGUAGUCUUCUGUGGCUGUGAAGGCGACAGUGGGCUCACAGGUCUUGACACAGGCGCGGCCAAGGCCUCACUGUGCACUACCGCGAUGUCGCCGGCCGCCAUGCAUAGCAGCACUUGUGCUCGAGCAUGGUCGCGGUGCCCAUGGGAUGUGACACCCCAAGCAUCUUCAUAAGUCGGAGCCCGAGCAGGAGGUCCCGUGCGGAAGAUGCCUCAGGUGCGGCGCGACACUGUAGAGCUCGCCUACUGACAUCCAGGACGUGUCUGUCGUUGUAGUUCGGCAAGAGAAGGUGCGGCACCGCGGAUACCCGUCGUGCUGCACCACCGAGGUCCCCUGUGUGCACCCACUGUUUCCCGCAACGCCGUCAGCUCUGGUCAUGCACGUACUCGCGGUCGACGAUCCGGACAAGGCCGCCGUCCUGCACUGGCGGAAGGGUGCCGAAGGGCUCCCACUGAGCCGUCGUGAUUGUCCGCUUCUGCUGGAGUCUAACAUGCUUGGCAGUGGGGCGGAUCCUCACCGGAUCCGGGCGGAACAAGGGCUGGAAGUGCGGCUGGGGUUAGAUCCUACGCGAUCCAGUGACUUGUGGCGGCGAACAUCAGUUAGCUAGGGUGAGGCUCGCCGUGGUAAGGCUCUGGCUGUGGCCCAGGUUUUGGCUUGGUUGUUGUCGCGGUCUUGGGGAAGAAGAUGGCUUGAAGGGAGAGAGAGGACCAUAUAAGGGGACUUCGGCCACCUCAGUAAAUUAUCCAUGUAGUCCUGCCACAUCGGGCCGACGGGUGGGCCCAUCCGGCCAGGUCCGCCAUUUUCACGGUUAAAUUCGAGCACCAGUGCUCUGCAUUACGCAUUAGGCACAGUUCUGGUGUUUUUUUGCCCUGCCUUCAAUAUGGUACCAAGUGAUUACUCUAGCCCAAAGUGUGGUGUUUUUAGCUAAAUAACUCACACUCGUCCAUAGCAGCCUCCCCCCACGCACACAUUUUCUGAACGUCAACUCACGAAUGCCCCGCGAUUCUCUACCUUGCCGCUUUGUUGCCUUGUCUCGCAACAAAAUACAACCAUCUAUACCUGCACGGGUGCAUUCCUUGUAAAAAGGAAACUCUUACAUUACAAAAUCGUCUCCGCAGGCAGCGACUUCACGUCAUCACUCACUACAAGAAAUAUGUUAACUAGUGACCUUCUGUCAGUGACCCUGGAAGAAUUGGUCAUAGAUCCAUGACCAUUUCAGACCAAUUGGUCAAAAGCUAUUCGGGGGGCUCCAAACCCUAAACCAUUGCGACCAUUUUGGUUAGAAAGGUCGUAAUUUCGUUACAUGAAAUGGUCACAAAGAAAACAGUGCUAGGCCGCUGCCUUAUUUCUAGUUGUUAACGACCAAUAUAGAUGGUCAUAGCCUUGUAUAUUGUGGUGGGUUGUGAUGACUAGGCGCCAUCUCAUCAGUUUUGCCUAUGUGUCAUGUCCAUGUGGCAGUUUUUUCCCUAGGUUGUGAAGCAACCUAUAUUUCUGCCAUUCCUAAAAUUCCAAAAAAAUUCUCAUAAAUGUUUUGGAUCAUAUCUUCAUCAAAUAUGUCAAAAACAUUCCUUGCCUAGUUCAAAAAUAAUUCGAAAAUAUUCAUUUUCCUAUUAUGUUCAGAGCAGCACUUUGUGAAGGAAGUACCACUUUGCCAUGUCCAAAUGGUAUCCAUUUUCUACAGUGCUUUCCUAUGCCCAAAUAAACAUCCUCCACCAAAUGCCAGCUCAAUCCAUUCAUUAUUUUGAGCCCAGCUUCAACAUUCAUAUUUAUGUCCAGUGUGGUACUGUGUAAAGCAAGUACCACCUAGGCUCCUCCUUUUGAGGUGAAAAUUUGUGAAGACGGUCUUCUUAGUAACAGAUCAUCCUCAGCCUAAACUCACGCCCAUUAGCCAUGUGCAUUUCCCGUACCGCAAAUCAAACACUUGGCUGCUUAUUCAUAUUUGAGCAUUGAUCGGACUCCUUGUGAGAAUCUUAUAUUGUGAUUUUCUUCCUAGCACCUACCUGGGGAGUGCCCAACCCACUAGACAUGCGUAGGCCGCCCAGAACACAUGGCAACGACACGGUCACGCGGUGACCACGCGGCGGGCAUGCGAGCUUACGCGCUCUAGAGUUGGGGCCCUCGGCCACCGUCCAAACCUCGAUGUCUCACCAUCAAACCAUGUAUUUCUGAUUAAAUAGAUACUUAUUUACCUAGAAAUAAUUUUUGAAAAAAAUAAAGAGCAAACUAUGAGGCAGCUGCAGUUCAAAUUUGACCCGCUUCCUACUGAAUCGACGACAAUUUGUCUUUUUCACCAGAGGUGGAUCAAAAUUUUUGACACCCAACCAUUUUGUCAAUUGUGCAUUAUAUAUGGCCUAGUAUUUUAUAUAAUUGAUUAGGUCCAAUUUUGCAACAAUUAUUUGGUAGGUCGUUCACAAAAAAACCUCACUUGGGGCACUCGAAAAAUGGAAAAUGGCUCUUUUGUGCAAUGAAAGUGAAAACUCCCCAAAUCAACAUUAUUUGGAAUGACAAUAUGCACCCUUGUGCAGAAUAUGAGAUCAUUUGAACAAACUAUUCCAUGAAUAUGGCCAUAAGAUUGAUCAUUUGGCUUGAAAGCCAUGAAUCUUCACGCUUGAUAGCUCAUUUCUGAGAACACUUUUUUUAAAAUAAUUACCGUAUUACAAGUUUAUUAUUUUUCCUGGAAACAUGGUCACAUAUAAUGACACAAUGCGAAGGUUUUCCAUUUUUUUGAUAUUUUUUGAUUUUUUAUGCCCAUUUCAAAAUGCAGUCAAAACGGCGGGCUUGACCGUUCCUAGCUAGUGGUUGAAUCUUGGAAUUUUUUUGGUGUUUCUCUGAUUAAAUAGAUACUUAUUUACCUAGAAAUGAUUUUUAAAAAAAAAUAAAGAGCAAACUAUGAGGUAGCUCCAGUUCAAAUUUGACCUGAUUCCAACUGAAUCAGCGGGAAUUUGUCUUUUUCACCGGAGGUGGAUCAAAACUUUUUUCACCCAACCAUUUUGUAAAUUGUGCAUUAAAUAUGGCUUAGUAUUUUAGAAAAAUGAUUUGGUCCAAUUGUGCAACAAUUAUUUGAUAGGUCCUUCACAAAAAAACCUCACUUGGGGCACUCGAAAAAUGGAAAAUGGCUCUUUUGUGCAAUGAAAGUGAAAACUCCCCAAAUCAACAUUGUUUGGAAUUCCAAUAUGCACCCUUGUGCACAAUAUGAGAUCAUUUGAACAAACUAUUCCAUGAAUGUGGCCAUAAGAUUGAUCAUUUGGCUUGAAAGCCAUGAAUCUUCACGCUUGAUAACUCAUUUCUGAGAAUAAUUUUUUAAAAUAAUUACCGUAUUACAAGUUUAUUAUUUUUCCUAGAAACUUGGUCACAUAUAAUGACACAAUGCGAAGGUUUUCCAUUGUUUUGAUUUUUUUUGAAUUUUUUAUGCUCGUUUCAAAAUGCUGUCAAAACGGCGGGCUUGACCGUUCCUAGCUAGUGGUUGAAUCUUGGAAUUUUUUUGGUGUUUCUCUGAUUAAAUAGAUACUUAUUUACCUAGAAAUAAUUUUUGGAAAAAAUAAAGAGCAAACUAUGAGGCAGCUACAGUUCAAAUUUGACCCGUUUCCAACUGAAUCGACGGCAAUUUGUCUUUUUCACCAGAGGUGGAUCAAAACUUUUUUCACCCAACCAUUUUGUCAAUUGUGCAUUAUAUAUGGCCUACUAUUUUAUAAAAUUGAUUUGGUCCAUUUUUGCAACAAUUAUUUGGUAGUUCCUUCACAAAAAACCUCACUUGGGGCAAUCGAAAAAUGGAAAAUGGCUCUUUUGUGCAAUGAAAGUGAAAACUCCCCAAAUCAACAUUGUUUGGAAUUCCAGUAUGCACCCUUGUGAACAAUAUGAGAUCAUUUGCACAAACUAUUCCAUGAAUGUGGCCAUAAGAUUGAUCAUUUGGCUUCAAAGCCAUGAAUCUUCACGCUUGAUAACUCAUUUCUGAGGACACUUUUUUUAAAAUAAUUACCGUAUUACAAUUUUAUUAUUUUUCCUGGAAACUUGGUCACAUAUAAUGACACAAUGCGAAGGUUUUCCAUUUUUUUGAUUUUUUUUGAAUUUUUUAUGCCCGUUUCAAAAUGCAGUCAAAACGGCGGGCUUGACCGUUCCUAGCUAGUGGUUGAAUCUUGGAAUUUUUUUGGUGUUACUCUGAUUAAAUAGAUAAUUAUUUACCUAGAAAUGAUUUUUUUUUAAUAAAGAGAAAACUAUGAGGUAGCUGCAGUUCAAAUUUGACCCGCUUCCAACUGAAUCAGCGGGAAUUUGUCUUUUUCACCGGAGGUGGAUCAAAACUUGUUUCACCCAACCAUUUUGUCAAUUGUGCAUUAAAUAUGGCCUAGUAUUCUAGAAAAAUGAUUUGGUCCAAUUGUGCAACAAUUAUUUGGUAGGUCCUUCUCAAAAAAACCUCACUCGGGGCACUCGAAAAAUGGAAAAUGGCUCUUUUGUGCAAUGAAAGUGAAAACUCCCCAAAUCAAUAUUGUUUGGAAUUCCAAUAUGCACCCUUGUGCACAAUAUGAGAUCAUUUGAACAAACUAUUCCAUGAAUGUGGCCAUAAGAUUGAUCAUUUGGCUUGAAAGCCAUGAAUCUUCACGCUUGAUAGCUCAUUUCUAAGGACACUUUUUUUUUAAAUAAUUACCUUAUUACAAGUUUAUAAUUUUUCCUGGAAACUUGGUCACAUAUAAUGACACAAUGCAAAGGUUUUUCCUUUUUUUUGAUUUUUUUUGAAUUUUUUAUGCCUGUUUCAGAAUGCGGUCAAAACGGCAGGCUUGACCGUUCCUAGCUAGUGGUUGAAUCUUGGAAUUUUUUUGGUGUUUCUAUGAUUAAAUAGAUACUUAUUUACCUAGAAAUGAUUUUUGGAAAAAAUAAAGAGCAAACUAUGAGGCAGCUACAGUUCAAAUUUGACCCGUUUCCAGCUGAAUCGACGGCAAUUUGUCUUUUUCACCACAGGUGGAUCCAAACUUUUUUCACCCAACCAUUUUGUAAAUUGUGCAUUAUAUAUGGCCUAGUAUUUUAUAAAAUUGAUUUGGUCCAUUUUUGCAACAAUUAUUUGGUAGUUCCUUCACAAAAAAACCUCACUUGGGGCACUCACUACUUGGAAAAUGGCUAUAGAUGGGAUGGACACUAAUGGCGCACUGUACAUGUGGUGCGCCAUUACUAAAUACUAAUGGCGCACCAUGUGUUGGUGCGCCAUUAGUGUGCAAAUACUAAUGGCACACCACAUCCCACGAUGCGCCAUUAGUAAAAAAAAAUUAAUUUUUUUUCAAAACAACUAAUGGCGCACGUCGGGUGUGGUGCGCCAUUACUAUGUUGACAUAGUAAUGGUGCACCAACCCCACCGUGCACCAUUAGUAGUUUUGAAAAAAAAAAUUUGUUAGUAAUGGCGCACCUGUGGACAGUGGGUGUGGUGCGCCAUUAGUAGUUUAACUAUCAAUGGCGCACGACCCCACGGCGCGCCAUUACUAACAUGGCCCAAAAGUUCCCGGAUGCACCACCCCCCCCCCCGGUGGAUCGCCUUUUCAGUUUAAAAAAAAUAAAAGAAAAUGAUGGAAAUGUCAAAAAAAUAAAAGAAAAUAAGUUUCCCAUGUGAUAUGUGGUCUAGUUGUUGGGAAAAUUUACAAAUAUGAAUUUCGACUUUAUUUGCAAAAUCUCUCUGGAAAUUUGUAAAAUGGGCAUAACUUUUGCAUANNNNNNNNNNNNCACCUGUGGACAGUGGGUGUGGUGCGCCAUUAGUAGUUUAACUAUCAAUGGCGCACCACCCCACGGUGCGCCAUUACUAACAUGGCCCAAAAGUUCCCGAAUGCACCCCCCUUGUGGAUCGCCUUUUCAGUUUUAAAAAAAAUAAAAGAAAAUGAUGGAAAUGUCAAAAAAAUAAAAGAAAAUAAGUUUCCCAUGUGAUAUGUGGUCUAGUUGUUGGGAAAAUUUACAAAUAUGAAUUUCGACUUUAUUUGCAAAAUCUCUCUGGAAAUUUGUAAAAUGGGCAUAACUUUUGCAUACGAACUCGGAUGAAAAAGUUUUUUAUAUGAAAAAUCAUCUACUCGAAAAGUUACAUCCAAAUUUAACCAGGGGAACCCCGUUAAAUAUCUUUAAAAUCCCGAAAAACCUAACAAAAAAAAAGUUACGGGGCUUUCAAGAUCUAGAGGCAAAAAAAUUCAAAAAAAUUCAAACUUACUAGUGGCGCACCGUGGAUGUGGUGCGCCACUAGUAAGAGAAAAAGAAAUUGGUUUUGAAAAAAAAUUGAAUUUUUUUUCAAAAAAUGUCACGUAAUAUGACCGGGAAGUUUGAAAUAUUUUUCAAAAUUUCAUCAUAGUCAUGAACAUGAACAAAGUCCUAGACAUCAACAAGGUAUAAUAGGAUUGAUAUGCUAGAUAUAUCAACAAGUGCCUGUGAAGUGAGCUGUUGCUGGGGUUGGAUAAUACUCUGAAGUUAAGCGUGCUUCGGCUGGAGUAGUGUGAGGAUGGUGACCUUUCGGGAAGUUUGACCACGGAGUGCGAUUUGACUUGAGAUCAAGCAUAUUGACCCGAGAUUAAGCCAUAGUGAACUGAGAUUAAGAAAAAAACGAAAAAAAAUUUGCAAAAAAAAAUAAAAAAAGUAGAAAAAAAAUUGAUUUUUUUUGAAAAAAUAUUGUUACUAAUGGCACACUUCUAUGUGGUGCGCCAUUAGUAUACCAGAUACUAAUGGCGCACCGUGGGCUAUUCUAAUGGCGCACCAGCGGGUGCGCCAUUAGUAUGCCAGAUACUAAUGGCGCACCACAGGUGCGCCAUUAGAAAAAAAAUCUAAUGGCGUGGUGCUAGUGGCGCACCUUUAGUUCGCUAUUAGUAGCGAAAACAGGUGCGCCACUAGCAGCCCUUUUUGUAGUAGUGACUCGAAAAAUGGAAAAUGGCUCUUUUGUGCAAUGAAAGUGAAAACUCCCCAAAUCAACAUUGUUUGGAAUUCCAAUAUGCACCCUUGUGCACAAUAUGAGAUCAUUUGAACAAACUAUUCCAUUAAUGUCGCCAUAAGAUUGAUCAUUUGGCUUGAAAGCCAUGAAUCUUCACGCUUGAUAGCUCAUUUCUGAGAACACUUUUUUUAAAUAAUUACUGUAUUACAAGUUUAUUAUUUUUCCUGGAAACUUGGUCACAUAUAAUGUCACAAUGCGAAGGUUUUCCAUUUUUUUGAAUUUUUUUGAAUUUUUUAUGCCCGUUUCAAAAUGCGGUCAAAACGGCGGGCUUGACCGUUCCUAGCUAGUGGUUGAAUCUUGGAAUUUUUUUGGUGUUUCUAUCAUUAAAUAGAUACUUAUUUACCUAGAAAUGAUUUUUGCAAAAAAUAAAGAGCAAACUAUGAGGCAGCUACAGUUCAAAUUUGACCCGUUUCCAGCUAAAUCGACGGCAAUUUGUCUUUUUCACCAAAGGUGGAUCAAAACUUUUUUCACCCAAUGAUUUGGUCCAUUUUUGCAACAAUUAUUUGGUAGUUCCUUCACAAAAAAACCUCCUUCUGGGCACUCGGAAAAUGAAAAAUGAAUUUUCCGUGCAAAGAAAGUGAAAACUCUCUUAGACAACAUUGUUUGGAAUUCCAAGAAGCACCUCGUGCAAAUAUUUGAUAGCUUCUUCACAAAAAAAUUCAUUUUGGACACUCAAAACAUAAAAAUUAAAAUGCUGACAUGAUUUUACACUUUAUUUUUAUUUGACCACAACCAAUUUUGAAUGGUCAUAACGUCCAAUACUAAAUGGUCAUAACGUUAUACACGCGUACUGCGUUCUGAUUGGGCCAUAGCCAUCUCACGCGGAUCAUGCGUCAAGCACCGUUGGAUGCUCGUGGAUCCAACGGUAGCCCUCGCCCCCCCACCCUCUCACCCACCUAGCCCUAACACAAGCCCCACGCCCCCACUUCUCCACCUUCUCCACCUUCUCUCCCUCUCUCCNNNNNNNNNNNNNNNNNNNNNNNNNNNNNNNNNNNNNNNNNNNNNNNNNNNNNNNNNNNNNNNNNNNNNNNNNNNNNNNNNNNNNNNNNNNNNNNNNNNNNNNNNNCCCACCGCCCCCUUCCUCCUCACCCACUGCCCCGACCUCUGCUCCGCUCCGCUCCGGGAUCCAUCCACCGACCCAGGCCGUCGUCAUCCUAGGGUUUCGGCGCCCGCACCUCGCCCCUGCCUCUCCACCCACAUGGCCACACCCUACCUCCCCUUCGUCGCAGACCUAGACCUCGACAACUUCGGUGCAUCCAUGCCGCAGCCCCGCGGCUCCUCAUCGUCCUCAUCUUCCUCCUCUCCCUGUCUGUCGUUCCCCCAAAUCAGUCGCUGUCGCCGCCACCGGCGAGCUCGUCCCCCUCAAAUCUCCCGCCGCCAACGGCCUUUCCUUGUCUCCCAGGCUGCAGAUCGAGUCGACAAAGUCAGGUUGCGGCCAGAUCUGCCAGGCUCGGGACGGGAGAGACGGAGAGGAAGAGUGGUACGCCACCACCACGCCAUCGUCGAGCUCCAUCCGUCUAGCACCUCCGCCAUGGAGACGGAGACAGAGACGGAGAUGGAGCUCUUCUCCCCUUCCCAACCACGCAGCGCAACGUANNNNNNNNNNNNNNNNNNNNNNNNNNNNNNNNNNNNNNNNNNNNNNNNNNNNNNNNNNNNNNNNNNNNNNNNNNNNNNNNNNNNNNNNNNNNNNNNNNNNNNNNNNNNNNNNNNNNNNNNNNNNNNNNNNNNNNNNNNNNNNNNNNNNNNNNNNNNNNNNNNNNNNNNNNNNNNNNNNNNNNNNNNNNNNNNNNNNNNNNNNNNNNNNNNNNNNNNNNNNNNNNNNNNNNNNNNNNNNNNNUUCUCCUGGAUUUGUUGGUCUGACCCGUGCGGUUGUUUUGUGCAGGUCAUCACCAUGGAACGUGUGAAGGAGGAGCACCAUCCCCAUGGCCAUGGCCAUGGAAGGCCCUUCCUUCCUUCCUUCUGUCCCUCUCUCUGUGGAGGCCAUGGUCAGGUCAAUCUCUUCCCCCUUUCUAGAUCUCUCCUCUGCCAUACUUUGCUGCUGCUGCUGCUGCGAGAUCCAUAACAAAUAUCAAGGGGUUUGCAUAUUUUCUUAAUCUGAACCAUAACACAUCCAUUGUUUGUGUGGUUUCCAUCCAUCUCAUAUCAUAUCCAUGUCUUUGUCUUGUGCCAAGGGAAGGCCGACCAUUGCGGGCCGGCAGAGGAGAGUGGACUUGAUCAUGAAGUCGCUCUCGUGGUCCAAGGCGGCGUCGGUCACGGAGACGGCCAUCCGCGCCGCUGUUGGCGACAAUGUUGUAACUAGAAAGGCUAUGCGCUGGUGAGUAGGACACUUCCGCUAAUCCAACUAUCAUCUCUGAAGAUGUUCUGAAAUUUGUUGGCUGACUCUCUGUUUGGAAUUCGCAGGUUGCCGAAGCAGAAGAGAGGGUUGCGUCGUGCGGGCACUGGUGGCCGCCCGGAUCCGUAUGUGUACAUGGUACGUGAAAUCUGUGCCACACAGUUUGCGUUUGGAUGAUGAUUUGAUUUCUGAAAGUAGCUAAAUGUAAGCUAUGACUGAAUCAGUAUAACUGAGAGUCAGUGUCCAACUUCUAGAUGGAGUUAGGGAGUUGUUACUUAUUGGAGUAGUAAUUUCUGGUUAUUCAGUAGAGAGUAAGUAGAAUCUGAAAGCAAUUGUUAAAUCUUAUUAAUUUAUCCUAGUUCCACUCACAACCUUAGUUCUAUAAUUCUGGAAGCAAGUUGAAUCCUGAACACUGCACAUUUCAGCCUUGUCCAUAACUGUUAUUUCUUGGAUAAACAUUUUUGCAAGGGAUGAUGAUUGUAUUCAGGUUACAGUACACUUCAAGCAGCAUAUCUGCAUCUGGCAUCUCGCUAUCUUUGUCACUUGCAAGAGAUGCACAAUUGUUUAACAGUAGUUGGAUGCCGUCACAGUUUUAUACACUAUUGGCAAUAACUGAAUUGAAGUUUAUUUUAAAGUUAACAGCCCGAUGGUACCAAUGGGCUUAAGAAAAUUUACUUGUAAAGGAACAAUGGCAGUAUAAUGAGAAAAUAACAUAAUUUUUUGCUUGUUUGAGCACUAUAACAGUGCGUACCUACAGAUUGUUAUUGUAUAGGCACCACACUGUUCUGUUACUAUGCUAUAGUAUAUGCUUAAUGACUGAAGCUUCUCAGGCGAGUUGUCUUAGCUGUGUCUUUUAUAUCUUGCUAUUGAUUAGUAUUCUGUAUGUAUCAUUGUAACCUAUGGUAUGUGAUUAUCAACUGUGAAUUAUUGAGUCGCUGGUUCUUUCAGGCAUUUAGGAAUCUGAUCGAGAAAGUAAUGAGAUGGAAGAGUCAUGGCAGGUGGAAGAGCAUGGAAUCAACUAGCAGGUUUUUGACUCCCUUGGUUUUCUGCAAUUCCAUCAUAGUAUUGUGGCCGAAUGCAUUCCAUCUCACUGACAUAAUAUGUGCCAUUUUUAGCUACCGUAGAGAGGAACUUCUCGAGUUCUUCAAGUUACUGAUUUGUUGUACUGAUUCUCCAAGUUACUCCAUUCAAACAAAUGUGUUGAUCUGAUCUGCUAUAGUAGGUGAUGUUAAUCUUGCUGCUGUAGUAGUUGUUGAUCUGAUCUGAUCUGAUCUGAUCUGCUGUAGUAGUUGUUGAUCUAAUUUGCUGUAGUUGCUGUUGAUUUGGAGUAGUUAAUGUUGCUGAUAUUAUAUGUUGUACUUGGAUCUGAUCUGAUCUACUAUAGUUUUUGUUAAUCUGAUAUGCUGUAGUUUCUGUUGAUUUGGAGUAGUUAAUGUUGCUGAUAUUAUAUGUUGUACUGUUGCUAAUCGGAUCUGCUGUUGCUAUUGCAGUAAUGCUGGAUCAGCUGCUGCUGCUCACUACAGGAUCUGGUUAUCAACCUGAGAUGUUGCUGCUCAAGUCAUGGCGACGACCAGCGAUGCUGUGCUGAGCUGAUCCAACCUGGGAUGAUGCUGAUGAUCUGCUGCUCAACAAGGUGAUGCUGCUUCGUUCAGCCUCUACGAACAUUUACAAGAGCUCUAGCCUGGAAGAAAAAGUCAGAAGUAUAUUUGUAGUAUCAUAGUAUCUUGGUGAAAUGAAUGAUGUAAAGAUUGUGCUAUUACAAGAGCUCUAACCUGGGACAACCUGAGAAGUAUAUUUGUAGUAUUUUGGCUAAUUGGCAUGUGUUUUGAUAAUUUUCACUUGUUUACUGUUCUCAUUGAAAUAAUUGUUUCAAAUUGUGGAAGUUGAAACCUGGGCCGUUG
Molecule: long non-coding RNA, 31395 nt
Filed under: Triticum aestivum (bread wheat)
Lineage: Eukaryota; Viridiplantae; Streptophyta; Magnoliopsida; Poales; Poaceae
Description: long non-coding RNA (TAES_LNC016964)
Source: RNAcentral